This 253-nucleotide ribosomal RNA is filed under the name Agathobaculum desmolans. RNAcentral's name for it is "partial 16S ribosomal RNA". It matches the Rfam family "Bacterial small subunit ribosomal RNA", at positions 524 to 776 of the family's 1533-position model. Lineage: Bacteria; Bacillati; Bacillota; Clostridia; Eubacteriales; Butyricicoccaceae. The record is from RNAcentral.
UACGUAGGGAGCAAGCGUUAUCCGGAUUUACUGGGUGUAAAGGGCGCGCGGGCGGGCCGGCAAGUUGGAAGUGAAAUCUAUGGGCUUAACCCAUAAACUGCUUUCAAAACUGCUGGUCUUGAGUGAUGGAGAGGCAGGCGGAAUUCCGUGUGUAGCGGUGAAAUGCGUAGAUAUACGGAGGAACACCAGUGGCGAAGGCGGCCUGCUGGACAUUAACUGACGCUGAGGCGCGAAAGCGUGGGGAGCAAACAGG